CUGUCUCAAGAUAAGCCAUGCACGUCUAGUACAAACUAAAUGAUGGUGAAACUGCAAAUGGCUCAUUAUAACGGUUAUGAUGUACCCGGGAGUUCCGAUGGAUAUUUCCAGUAACACUAGAACUAAUACAUGUCCCUGCGUUUAUUAGUUUCGCACAGUCCGUCGCUGAGUCAUGGUAAACAGUUGAUCGACUCGACGUCCCGGAACAGUUUCCGCCCCAUCAGCUUCGAUGGUUGGGUAUUGGCCUACCAUUGCAACAACGGGUAACGAGGAAUUAGGGUUUGAUUUCGGAGAGGGAGCCUGAGAAACGGCUACCACAUCUACGGAUGGCAGCAGGCGCGCAAAUUACCCAAUGCGGACACUGUGAGGUAGUGACGAGAAAUAAUAAAGCGGGACUUCUGUUUCGCUAUUAUAAUGAGGAAUAACCAAAGGUCAUUCCGAUUAGCAACUGAUGGGAAAGUCUGGUGCCAGCAGCCGCGGUAAUACCAGCGUCAGUAGCA
This 500-nucleotide ribosomal RNA is filed under the name uncultured Myrionecta. Its description in RNAcentral is "SSU rRNA". It matches the Rfam family "Eukaryotic small subunit ribosomal RNA", at positions 31 to 598 of the family's 1831-position model. Lineage: Eukaryota; Ciliophora; Litostomatea; Cyclotrichida; Mesodiniidae. The record is from RNAcentral.